This 479-nucleotide ribosomal RNA is filed under the name uncultured bacterium. RNAcentral's name for it is "bacterial SSU rRNA". It matches the Rfam family "Bacterial small subunit ribosomal RNA", at positions 28 to 505 of the family's 1533-position model. The record is from RNAcentral.
GAUGAACGCUAGCGGCAGGCCUAAUACAUGCAAGUCGAGGGAGAAGUUGUCUUCGGAUGACAGGAACCGGCGAACGGGUGCGUAACACGUAUGCAAUCUGCCCCUGACUGGAGCAUAGCCCGGGGAAACUCGGAUUAAUACUCCAUAACAUUAUGAAAUGGCAUCAUUUUAUAAUCAAAGUUCCGGCGGUCAGGGAUGAGCAUGCGGCCCAUUAGCUAGUUGGUGAGGUAAUGGCUCACCAAGGCUACGAUGGGUAGGGGGUCUGAGAGGAUGAUCCCCCACACUGGUACUGAGACACGGGACCAGACUCCUACGGGAGGCAGCAGUAGGGAAUAUUGGGCAAUGGGCGAAAGCCUGAUCCAGCCACGCCGCGUGCAGGAUGACGGUCCUAUGGAUUGUAAACUGCUUUUGUCAGAGACGAAAGUGUAUGAUUUAUCAUAUUUUGACGGUAUCUGGCGAAUAAGCACCGGCUAACUACG